UUUCCGUAGGUGAACCUGCGGAAGGAUCAUUAAAAAUGUGGUACCGAUUGUUGGUACUAAUUAAUCAUCCUACCCUUUGUGAAUUCGUUUGUAAUGAAUUUUUUUAAAUGGGUCUUUCCCUAAGUUGGAUUGUAGUAAAAUACAAAAAGACUUAGGGGAAUGACUUUUUUAAAAGACUUUUUUUUAAUUAAAACUUUUUGUAUUCAUUUGUCUAAAAUUUAUUUUUAUAAUAUAAAAACAACUUUUGACAAUGGAUCUCUUGGUUCUCGCAACGAUGAAGAACGCAGCAAAAUGCGAUAAGUAGUGUGAAUUGCAGAAUACGUGAAUCAUCGAAUCUUCGAACGCAUAUUGCACUUUUUUAGUUUACUAAAAAAGUAUGUCUGUUUGAGUAUCAGUAAAAUAUUCUCACAAAACAAUUUGUUUGUGGUUAUGAGUGUUUUACAACGAUAAACAAGUUGUUUCACUUUAAAUUCUUUUUGUAAGUUUUACCAAUUCACAAAUUAAAAUUGGAUAAAAUUUUCCUUUAACGAGGAAUAACCUAAACAAUUUUAAAUUUUAUGGAUUAGUAACAUCAUGAAGGAAUCUAUACAAUAAAUAACUUGAUCUCAAAUCAGAUAAGAGUACCCGCUGAACUUAAGCAUAUCAAUAAGCGGAGGAAAAGAAACUAACAAGGAUUCCCUUAGUAACGGCGAGUGAAGCGGGAAGAGCUCAAAUUUGAAAUCUUCAAGGUUUGACCUUGACGAAUUGUAGUUUAUAGAAGUGUUUUCUGUUGGAGUUUUGGUAAGAGUUCUUUGGAAUAGGACAUCAUAGAGGGUGAGAAUCCCGUAUUUGACCAUGACUUUCCAGCUGUGUGAUACACUUUCAAAGAGUCGGAUUGUUUGGGAAUGCAGUCCAAAAUGGGUGGUAAAUUUCAUCUAAAGCUAAAUAUUGGCGAGAGACCGAUAGCGAACAAGUACCGUGAGGGAAAGAUGAAAAGAACUUUGAAGAGAGAGUUAAACAGUACGUGAAAUUGUCAAAAGGGAAGCGUUUGACACCAGUGUUGUUUUCUCGAAAAUCAAUUUAAUGAGUUCUUGUUUUUAAGUUAUUGUGACUUUAUCAGCGCAUUUCUUAUUUUACUUGACUCAUUGAAUGCACUUUUCGUUUAACAAGUCAACAUCAAUUUCUUUGGUGGUAAAAAGUUUAAAGGAAGGUGGCUUGGACUUCGGUUCAAGUGUUUAUAGCCUUUUUUCUAUGCCAUCGGAGAGAUUGAGGUCUGCAGCGUAGAUCCUUCGGGGUUAGAUACCUUUGUGCUAAGUUAUAGUUUUUUAUAGACAACUUGUUGACUAUAAUUAACCCUGUAAUUUACUCGCUUAGGCUAUUU
Molecule: unclassified non-coding RNA, 1360 nt
Filed under: uncultured Neocallimastigales
Lineage: Eukaryota; Fungi; Neocallimastigomycota; Neocallimastigomycetes; Neocallimastigales
Description: partial contains small subunit ribosomal RNA, internal transcribed spacer 1, 5.8S ribosomal RNA, internal transcribed spacer 2, and large subunit ribosomal RNA
Rfam family: Eukaryotic large subunit ribosomal RNA (bases 601-1360)
Source: RNAcentral